UACGUAGGGAGCGAGCGUUAUCCGGAUUUAUUGGGCGUAAAGCGUGCGUAGGCGGUUUAUUAAGUUUAAGAUAAAAGCCUGGAGCUCAACUCCAGUUCGUCUUAAGAACUGAUAGGCUUGAGUGUGGUAGAGGUAAAUGGAAUUUAUAGUGUAGCGGUGAAAUGCGUAGAUAUUAGAAGGAACACCAGUGGCGAAGGCGAUUUACUAGGCCAUAACUGACGCUGAGGCACGAAAGCGUGGGGAGCAAAUA
Molecule: ribosomal RNA, 250 nt
Filed under: uncultured prokaryote
Description: partial 16S ribosomal RNA
Rfam family: Bacterial small subunit ribosomal RNA
Source: RNAcentral